Molecule: ribosomal RNA, 152 nt
Filed under: Piliocolobus tephrosceles (Ugandan red Colobus)
Lineage: Eukaryota; Metazoa; Chordata; Mammalia; Primates; Cercopithecidae
Description: 5.8S ribosomal RNA (ENSPTEG00000015134.1)
Rfam family: 5.8S ribosomal RNA
About the family: 5.8S ribosomal RNA (5.8S rRNA) is a component of the large subunit of the eukaryotic ribosome. It is transcribed by RNA polymerase I as part of the 45S precursor that also contains 18S and 28S rRNA. Functionally, it is thought that 5.8S rRNA may be involved in ribosome translocation.
Source: RNAcentral
UAGUCUUAACGAUGGAUGUCUUGGUUCUUACAGCGAUGAAGGCCGCAGCAAAAUGCGAUAAGCAAUGAAAAUUGCAGUGACCCUAAAUCAUCAGAAUGCUGAAUGUAAACUACACCAAUUGUUCUGCAAUAUGGUACUCCUUCAUAGCAUGA